RNAcentral lists this ribosomal RNA (294 nucleotides) under uncultured bacterium. RNAcentral's name for it is "partial 16S ribosomal RNA". It matches the Rfam family "Bacterial small subunit ribosomal RNA", at positions 338 to 624 of the family's 1533-position model. The record is from RNAcentral.
CCUACGGGACGCAGCAGUAGGGAAUCUUCCACAAUGGACGAAAGUCUGAUGGAGCAACGCCGCGUGAGUGAAGAAGGGUUUCGGCUCGUAAAGCUCUGUUGGUAGUGAAGAAAGAUAGAGGUAGUAACUGGCCUUUAUUUGACGGUAAUUACUUAGAAAGUCACGGCUAACUACGUGCCAGCAGCCGCGGUAAUACGUAGGUGGCAAGCGUUGUCCGGAUUUAUUGGGCGUAAAGCGAGUGCAGGCGGGUUAAUAAGUCCGGUGUGUAAACCUUCGGCUCCACCCGAGAAAUUC